This 944-nucleotide long non-coding RNA is filed under the name Equus caballus (horse). RNAcentral describes it as "lncRNA (ENSECAG00000053772.1)". The record is from RNAcentral. Lineage: Eukaryota; Metazoa; Chordata; Mammalia; Perissodactyla; Equidae.
CUCAGACUAGACAGUCCUUCCUCCAAGAUGCCUGAGCCGUCCAGCGUGCGCUGUUAGCCUCAGCUCAGCCUUUAGCCAGUUUCCUUGGCAGCAGUUCUCUCAUCUCAGACAAACGUGGAUCCGGUUGGCCUGCCUUCCUGUCUGUCUCUCACUCGGAUGUAAGCUCCUUGAGUGCUAGGUCUGUGUGCCUGCGGUUUCUCCAGAGCUUGGUAAAGAAGGGACGAGAACCAAAUGGCCUCCAAGGGCACAGUUGUCCCUUCAGAGGACCACCCUCACCCGAGCCGCUGAUGACACCUGGACACCUGCAGAAGCCCCUCUCCGGUCUCCUGGUCUCCUCCCCUACGUGCCUCUCCCCUCCACAUCCAUUCUGCUCAUCUCUCACUCUCUCCCUUGGCACCCCCGUGGCUUCCUGUUGGACAUCUAGUCCCGCCGCCCGGUGGCUCAGUCUGAAACAAGCCCCACUCGCUGGCCUCAGGCCCCUGGCCUUUCUUCUCCCAGUUAGGCUCUCCCUCUUCCGUUCUCAUGGCUGGUCCCUGUGUCAUCCAGGUCUCAGCCCGAAUGUGGCCUCUUCAGAGGGCCCUCCCGGACCGCCUUAGAUCCUGCCACAGCAUUUUUUAUUCUGUGGACUUGCUCGCUCACUGCCCACCUCCCCUCCCCUUCCCACAAGAAGUCAGCCCCCGGAGUGCAGCUGUCAUGACAGCUGGCCUCGGGAUCCCGGGCCCGUGCCUGGCACACAGCAGGUGCUCAGGAGAUGCUUGCCGGGUGAAUGAAUGAGGCACCAGAGCGAUCUCCUAGCCACAAGCGUUCACAGUCUUAAAUGCACAAAGUCAGCGAUCAGUCCUGAGUGGUUCACUCUCCGGGGAUCUGAAGCCGACGACCUUGGACAGUCAUUUGACCUUUCUGAGCUGUGAUUUCCUCUUCUAUGAAAUAAAAAGUUGAACUAG